AAAUUGAAGAGUUUGAUCAUGGCUCAGAUUGAACGCUGGCGGCAGGCCUAACACAUGCAAGUCGAACGGUAACAGGAAUCAGCUUGCUGAUUCGCUGACGAGUGGCGGACGGGUGAGUAAUGUCUGGGAAACUGCCUGAUGGAGGGGGAUAACUACUGGAAACGGUAGCUAAUACCGCAUAACGUCGCAAGACCAAAGAGGGGGACCUUCGGGCCUC
This 217-nucleotide ribosomal RNA is filed under the name Escherichia coli. RNAcentral's name for it is "partial 16S ribosomal RNA". It matches the Rfam family "Bacterial small subunit ribosomal RNA", at positions 1 to 216 of the family's 1533-position model. Lineage: Bacteria; Pseudomonadati; Pseudomonadota; Gammaproteobacteria; Enterobacterales; Enterobacteriaceae. The record is from RNAcentral.